This 1436-nucleotide ribosomal RNA is filed under the name uncultured organism. Its description in RNAcentral is "16S ribosomal RNA". It matches the Rfam family "Bacterial small subunit ribosomal RNA". The record is from RNAcentral.
GGCGUGCUUAACACAUGCAAGUCGAACGGAAAGGCCCUGCUUUUGUGGGGUGCUCGAGUGGCGAACGGGUGAGUAACACGUGAGUAACCUGCCCUUGACUUUGGGAUAACUUCAGGAAACUGGGGCUAAUACCGGAUAGGAGCUCCUGCUGCAUGGUGGGGGUUGGAAAGUUUCGGCGGUUGGGGAUGGACUCGCGGCUUAUCAGCUUGUUGGUGGGGUAGUGGCUUACCAAGGCUUUGACGGGUAGCCGGCCUGAGAGGGUGACCGGCCACAUUGGGACUGAGAUACGGCCCAGACUCCUACGGGAGGCAGCAGUGGGGAAUAUUGCACAAUGGGCGGAAGCCUGAUGCAGCAACGCCGCGUGCGGGAUGACGGCCUUCGGGUUGUAAACCGCUUUCGCCUGUGACGAAGCGUGAGUGACGGUAAUGGGUAAAGAAGCACCGGCUAACUACGUGCCAGCAGCCGCGGUGAUACGUAGGGUGCGAGCGUUGUCCGGAUUUAUUGGGCGUAAAGGGCUCGUAGGUGGUUGAUCGCGUCGGAAGUGUAAUCUUGGGGCUUAACCCUGAGCGUGCUUUCGAUACGGGUUGACUUGAGGAAGGUAGGGGAGAAUGGAAUUCCUGGUGGAGCGGUGGAAUGCGCAGAUAUCAGGAGGAACACCAGUGGCGAAGGCGGUUCUCUGGGCCUUUCCUGACGCUGAGGAGCGAAAGCGUGGGGAGCGAACAGGCUUAGAUACCCUGGUAGUCCACGCUGUAAACGGUGGGUACUAGGUGUGGGGUCCAUUCCACGGGUUCCGUGCCGUAGCUAACGCUUUAAGUACCCCGCCUGGGGAGUACGGCCGCAAGGCUAAAACUCAAAGGAAUUGACGGGGCCCCGCACAAGCGGCGGAGCAUGCGGAUUAAUUCGAUGCAACGCGUAGAACCUUACCUGGGUUUGACAUGGAUCGGGAGUGCUCAGAGAUGGGUGUGCCUCUUUUGGGGUCGGUUCACAGGUGGUGCAUGGCUGUCGUCAGCUCGUGUCGUGAGAUGUUGGGUUAAGUCCCGCAACGAGCGCAACCCUUGUUCACUGUUGCCAGCACGUUAUGGUGGGGACUCAGUGGAGACCGCCGGGGUCAACUCGGAGGAAGGUGGGGAUGACGUCAAGUCAUCAUGCCCCUUAUGUCCAGGGCUUCACGCAUGCUACAAUGGCUGGUACAGAGAGUGGCGAGCCUGUGAGGGUGAGCGAAUCUCGGAAAGCCGGUCUCAGUUCGGAUUGGGGUCUGCAACUCGACCUCAUGAAGUCGGAGUCGCUAGUAAUCGCAGAUCAGCAACGCUGCGGUGAAUACGUUCCCGGGGCUUGUACACACCGCCCGUCAAGUCAUGAAAGUUGGUAACACCCGAAGCCGGUGGCCUAACCGUUGUGGGGGAGCCGUCGAAGGUGGGACUGGUGAUUAGGACUAA